GGAUAUCGACAAUCUUUUUGCCGUCAACGGUUGAUUGGUACAAGGUUUCCUCGAAGAGGAUAGCGCCCGAGAUGUAGUUGCCAAGGCCCGGUGGGGUAACAAGUAGGGUCCGGUAAGCUUGACGGUUAGCCUCGGUGUUCUCAAGACCGAUAGAAGCUAACCGCUUUCCACAAGUGGCAUUUGACUCAUCCAUGGCUAGGAUUCCGCGGCCCGGUGAUGCUACGGUUUUCUAAAUUUAAUAAUAAAAGUUCUAUUAGUUAUCAACUUAUUUAUUUUUAAUCUGAAAUGUUUGUUGUUUGAAUUAAAGAGAAUAAAAACACUUACCGCGGUUUUAACGAGCUCAUCGGCAUAGGAAGCACGGACGGUGAGGGCAGAGGGUGCGCCCGAGCUGACCCGCACCACGGAAACCGAGGGUUGGCGAAGGGUCUGACCCUUAACCCAAUCAGAUUUGUCAAGAAUGGCUGGGGAUGACUGGAAGAGAUAUGCUGAAGCCAUUUUUUAUUUUCUUUAAAAAAUAGAAAAUAUAAAAAAUAAUACUAAAAGAAAAGAGACUCACUCAAUUGUGUUUGGGCUCACUAAAUUUAUAGUUAUAAUAUGAGGUAAGAAAAGAUAUAAUUUUUAAGGCUAAGAUGGUUUGGCUUAUUAGAGAGUGACACGUGGAUUGAUAACUUUGAUGACAUGGCGGCUGGAAUUUAGCAAAGUUUGGGAUGAUAUGUGAUGAGGGGACGAAAUUGUCUCGAUGGGAAUUUCAGGAUGAUUAUUUAUUUAUUAAUGGUUGUUAUUUAUUAAAGUUAUUGUUUUAUAAAAGAACAAAAUCAUGAACUUUUCAAAGGAAAUAAUGUGGGGCCCACUGGGUUUAUAUGUGAGGUUGGCAAGAUUUCAUUCCAUAUACAAAAGAAAGAUUCUGAUGAUCCUCUAA
Molecule: long non-coding RNA, 919 nt
Filed under: Helianthus annuus (common sunflower)
Lineage: Eukaryota; Viridiplantae; Streptophyta; Magnoliopsida; Asterales; Asteraceae
Description: hypothetical non coding rna
Source: RNAcentral